This 207-nucleotide long non-coding RNA is filed under the name Lathyrus oleraceus (garden pea). RNAcentral's name for it is "Pisum sativum (pea) long non-coding RNA (PSAT_LNC004348)". Lineage: Eukaryota; Viridiplantae; Streptophyta; Magnoliopsida; Fabales; Fabaceae. The record is from RNAcentral.
AUAAAUCCUAAGGGGGUACUAGGCUAAAAUUCAAAUAGACAAAAGAGACUUGAAAGAAACUGCGAGAGUUAAAUUUACAAAAUAUUUCAUUCACUUCAACAACUCCAUAGUAACUAUUUUCUCUUCUCCUUUCUUUUUUUUUUCUUUUUCAGAAGAAGUAUGUAUUGACAUGUAUACAUCCUUCUAUUUUUUUUCAUUCAUUUUUUU